This 253-nucleotide ribosomal RNA is filed under the name uncultured bacterium. Its description in RNAcentral is "partial 16S ribosomal RNA". It matches the Rfam family "Bacterial small subunit ribosomal RNA", at positions 524 to 776 of the family's 1533-position model. The record is from RNAcentral.
UACGUAGGGUGCGAGCGUUAAUCGGAAUUACUGGGCGUAAAGCGUGCGCAGGCGGUUCGUUGUGUCGGCGGUGAAAGCCCCGGGCUUAACCUGGGAAUGGCCGUCGAAACUGGCGAACUGGAGUGUGGCAGAGGGGGGUGGAAUUCCGCGUGUAGCAGUGAAAUGCGUAGAGAUGUGGAGGAACACCAGUGGCGAAGGCGGCUUUCUGGUCUGUAACUGACGCUGAGGCGCGAAAGCGUGGGGAGCAAACAGG